GUGCCUGUAGCUCAGUGGCUAGAGCGCUGGCCUCAUGCACCAGGGUUGGUGGGUUCAAACCCAGCCUGGGACU
RNAcentral lists this transfer RNA (73 nucleotides) under Otolemur garnettii (small-eared galago). It matches the Rfam family "tRNA". Rfam says of the family: Transfer RNA (tRNA) molecules are approximately 80 nucleotides in length. Their secondary structure includes four short double-helical elements and three loops (D, anti-codon, and T loops). Further hydrogen bonds mediate the characteristic L-shaped molecular structure. tRNAs have two regions of fundamental functional importance: the anti-codon, which is responsible for specific mRNA codon recognition, and the 3' end, to which the tRNAs corresponding amino acid is attached (by aminoacyl-tRNA synthetases). tRNAs cope with the degeneracy of the genetic code in two manners: having more than one tRNA (with a specific anti-codon) for a particular amino acid; and 'wobble' base-pairing, i.e. permitting non-standard base-pairing at the 3rd anti-codon position. Lineage: Eukaryota; Metazoa; Chordata; Mammalia; Primates; Galagidae. The record is from Rfam by way of RNAcentral.